RNAcentral lists this ribosomal RNA (471 nucleotides) under uncultured organism. Its description in RNAcentral is "partial 16S ribosomal RNA". It matches the Rfam family "Bacterial small subunit ribosomal RNA", at positions 334 to 797 of the family's 1533-position model. The record is from RNAcentral.
CACUCCUGCGGGAGGCAGCAGUGGGGAAUUUUGGACAAUGGGGGCAACCCUGAUCCCGCAAUGCCGCGUGAGUGAAGAAGGCCUUCGGGUUGUAAAGCUCUUUUGUCAGGGAAGAAACGGUGGUGGCGAAUAACUACUACUAAUGACGGUACCUGAAGAAUAAGCACCGGCUAACUACGUGCCAGCAGCCGCGGUAAUACGUAGGGUGCAAGCGUUAAUCGGAAUUACUGGGCGUAAAGCGUGCGCAGGCGGUUGUGUAAGUCAGAUGUGAAAUCCCCGGGCUCAACCUGGGAAUUGCAUUUGAUACUGCACGGCUAGAGUGUAUCAGAGGGGGGUAGAAUUCCACGUGGAGCAGUGAAAUGCGUAGAUAUGUGGAGGAAUACCGAUGGCGAAGGCAGCCCCCUGGGAUAACACUGACGCUCAUGCACGAAAGCGUGGGGAGCAAACAGGAUUAGAUACCCGAGUAGUCCC